This 324-nucleotide long non-coding RNA is filed under the name Brassica napus (rape). RNAcentral describes it as "long non-coding RNA (BNAP_LNC010498)". Lineage: Eukaryota; Viridiplantae; Streptophyta; Magnoliopsida; Brassicales; Brassicaceae. The record is from RNAcentral.
UUUCAUACAUGAACUUCUCUCAUAACCAGCUUUCUGGUCUAGUACCUGGAGGCACCCAGUUUCGAAGGCAGAACUGCACUUCAUUUGAGGGUAACAUGGGACUUUCUGGCCCUUCUCUUGACGAAAUUUGCAGAGAUAUUCACGCGUCAACACCACAUGAAACGCCGGAAUCAGAGGAGGAAGAAGAAGAAGAGGAAGAGGUGUUGACUUGGAUAACAGCUGUAAAGGGAGUCAUACCUGGUAUUGCCUUUGGAUGGGUGAUUGGAUACAUACUUGUUUACUACAAACCAGAGUGGUUCAUGAACCAUUUUGUCCAAAGCAGCG